CGAAUGUAUCGUAUAAAAUUCUAGAUAGAAGAUCGAUAAUGACAAAUAUCUAUCUAUUAGUCUUGACCAAAUUACGUGCCAGCAGUCGCGGUAACACGCAGAAGACAAGUGUUAUUCAUCUUUAAUAGGUUUAUAGGGUACCUAGACGGGAAAUCAAGCCAUAGUAGGGACUAGUUUUCUAGAGUUUUAUGGAAGAAAGUCGAAUUUUUGGAAGAGAGAUAAAAUAUUAUGAAACCAAAGAGACGGGUAACGGCAUAGGCAACUUUCUAUGUAAAAACUGACGUUGAGGGACGAAGCCCUGGGUAACAAGAAGGAUUAGAUACCCGAGUAGUCCAGGGAGACAAUUAUGAGUGCCAUAGGCUAGAUUAAUUAGUUUAUAAAUGAAAGUGCAAGCAUUCCACCUUAAGACUAAAGCGGCAACGCCCAAAUUUAAAUCAUUAGACCAUUCCUGAAACCAGUAGUGAAGUAUGUUAUUUAAUUCGAUAAUCCGCGAAUAACCUUACCACGUUUUGAAUACUAUUCAAUUAAUACAAGCGCUGCACGGCUGUCUUCAGUUAAUGUCGUGAGACUUUGGUUAAUUCCUUUAAUUAACGAAAACCCUUGUUUUAUUUAUACAUAAAACAGUUC
RNAcentral lists this ribosomal RNA (627 nucleotides) under Verrucaria viridigrana. RNAcentral's name for it is "SSU rRNA". It matches the Rfam family "Bacterial small subunit ribosomal RNA", at positions 415 to 1132 of the family's 1533-position model. The record is from RNAcentral. Lineage: Eukaryota; Fungi; Ascomycota; Eurotiomycetes; Verrucariales; Verrucariaceae.